GAUGAACGCUAGCGGCAGGCCUAACACAUGCAAGUCGAGGGGCAGCACGAUUGAGCUUGCUCAAUUGGUGGCGACCGGCGCACGGGUGCGUAACGCGUAUGCAACCUACCCUGUACUGGGGUAUAGCCCGAAGAAAUUCGGAUUAAUCCCCCAUAGUAUAUUUCAAUCGCAUGAUUGGACUAUUAAAGGUUACGGUACAGGAUGGGCAUGCGUCCCAUUAGCUAGAUGGUGAGGUAACGGCUCACCAUGGCGACGAUGGGUAGGGGCCUGAGAGGGUGGUCCCCCACACUGGUACUGAGACACGGACCAGACUCCUACGGGAGGCAGCAGUGAGGAAUAUUGGUCAAUGGGCGCAAGCCUGAACCAGCCAUGCCGCGUGCAGGAGACGGUCCUAUGGAUUGUAAAGUACUUUCAGCGGGAGGAGGCGAUAAGGUUAAUAACCUUGUUGA
Molecule: ribosomal RNA, 449 nt
Filed under: uncultured bacterium
Lineage: Bacteria
Description: bacterial SSU rRNA
Rfam family: Bacterial small subunit ribosomal RNA
Source: RNAcentral